This 449-nucleotide ribosomal RNA is filed under the name uncultured bacterium. Its description in RNAcentral is "bacterial SSU rRNA". It matches the Rfam family "Bacterial small subunit ribosomal RNA", at positions 330 to 793 of the family's 1533-position model. The record is from RNAcentral.
UCCAGACUCCUACGGGAGGCAGCAGUGGGGGAUAUUGGACAAUGGGGGGAACCCUGAUCCAGCGACGCCUCUUGAGUGAAGAAGUAUCUCGGUAUUUAAAGCUCUAUCAGCAUGGAAGAAAUAAAUUACGGUACCUUAUUAAGAAGCCCCUUCUAACUACGUGCCAUCCUCCGCGGUACUACUUAGGGGGCAAUCUUUAUCCGGAUUCACUGGGUGUAAAGGGAGCGUAGACGGCCGUGCAAGCCAGGAGUGAAAGCCCGGGGAAAAACCCCGGGACUGCUCUUGGAACUGUGCGGCUAGAGUGCGGGAGGGGAAGGCGGAAUUCCUGGUGUAGCGGUGAAAUGCGUAGAGAUAAGGAGGAACACCGGCGGCGAAGGCGGCCUGCUGGACCGCGACUGACGUUGAGGCUCGAAAGCGUGGGGAGCGAACAGGAUUAGAUACCCCAGUAA